AAAUCCCAGUUUGAAAAGAUUUUGUAAGCCAUUAGAAAUUGGCUUCAAUAAACAACUAAGUACCAUUGUAAUGACUAAAGAGUUCUUUUCUUUCUCUUAUCAGGACAGGUUUUAGUGAUUAUUCCCUAACAGGUAGGGGAUCUUGGAAGAGUUUCAGCAGAGAUAUUGCCAUAAUUGGCAAGGAAGAGUCCCAAUGGAACAUUACCACUGGCUACACUCAUUAAGGCAUGAGCCUCCUAAGAACAAAAUCAAUAGAAGACAUCAGUCUGUUUGAAGUGUCACUGCUAUGAAAAAUGGAGAUAGUUCCUAAGAAGCUAUGUUAACAAACAUCUGUAACUAUAAGAUUUCAUCAUAUUCAUCUCUUCUUUCCUCAUUUCUUCUGGCCAUCCCCUGGGCUUAGAAUAUACUCCUUCCAUAUCCAUCUGUAUCACUUGGAAGAUUAAUACAGAGCUUUUCACAGCCUACACUGAACUGUUGGAAAUCACCCUUUACAGUAUCUAAGGGAAAAAGGACAUCGAGGUUUUGGAUCAUCUGACUUGAUCCUGGAGGCUGUAACAAGGAUACUUGAGAAACUAAGCC
This 579-nucleotide long non-coding RNA is filed under the name Sarcophilus harrisii (Tasmanian devil). RNAcentral's name for it is "lncRNA (ENSSHAG00000024422.1)". The record is from RNAcentral. Lineage: Eukaryota; Metazoa; Chordata; Mammalia; Dasyuromorphia; Dasyuridae.